CGCUAUCACUCCUACGGGAGGCAGCAGUGGGGAAUCUUGGACAAUGGGGGCAACCCUGAUCCAGCCAUGCCGCGUGAGUGAUGAAGGCCUUAGGGUCGUAAAGCUCUUUCGCCUGUGAUGAUAAUGACAGUAGCAGGUAAAGAAACCCCGGCUAACUCCGUGCCAGCAGCCGCGGUAAUACGGAGGGGGUUAGCGUUGUUCGGAAUUACUGGGCGUAAAGCGCGCGUAGGCGGAUUAGUCAGUUAGAGGUGAAAUCCCCAGGGCUCAACCCCUGGAACUGCCUUUAAUACUGCUAGUCUUGAGUUCGAGAGAGGUGAGUGGAAUUCCGAGUGUAGAGGUGAAAUUCGUAGAUAUUCGGAGGAACACCAGUGGCGAAGGCGGCUCACUGGCUCGAUACUGACGCUGAGGUGCGAAAGUGUGGGGAGCAAACAGGAUUAGAUACCCUGGUAG
RNAcentral lists this ribosomal RNA (450 nucleotides) under uncultured bacterium. RNAcentral describes it as "bacterial SSU rRNA". It matches the Rfam family "Bacterial small subunit ribosomal RNA", at positions 328 to 793 of the family's 1533-position model. The record is from RNAcentral.